RNAcentral lists this ribosomal RNA (1199 nucleotides) under metagenome. RNAcentral describes it as "bacterial SSU rRNA". It matches the Rfam family "Bacterial small subunit ribosomal RNA", at positions 327 to 1520 of the family's 1533-position model. The record is from RNAcentral.
CGGUCCAGACUCCUACGGGAGGCAGCAGUGGGGAAUUUUGGACAAUGGGCGCAAGCCUGAUCCAGCCAUGCCGCGUGAGUGAAGAAGGCCUUCGGGUUGUAAAGCUCUUUCGGCGGGAACGAAAAGGUCCGUGUUAACACCACGGAUCCAUGACGGUACCCGCAGAAGAAGCACCGGCUAACUACGUGCCAGCAGCCGCGGUAAUACGUAGGGUGCAGGCGUUAAUCGGAAUUACUGGGCGUAAAGCGUGCGCAGGCGGUUUGCUAAGACAGGUGUGAAAUCCCCGGGCUUAACCUGGGAACUGCGCUUGUUACUGGCAAGCUAGAGUGUGGCAGAGGGGGGUGGAAUUCCAGGUGUAGCAGUGAAAUGCGUAGAUAUCUGGAGGAACACCGAUGGCGAAGGCAGCCCCCUGGGCUAACACUGACGCUCAUGCACGAAAGCGUGGGGAGCAAACAGGAUUAGAUACCCUGGUAGUCCACGCCCUAAACUAUGUCAACUGGUUGUCGGGGAAGCAAUUCCUUGGUAACGAAGCUAACGCGUGAAGUUGACCGCCUGGGGAGUACGGCCGCAAGGUUAAAACUCAAAGGAAUUGACGGGGACCCGCACAAGCGGUGGAUUAUGUGGAUUAAUUCGAUGCAACGCGAAAAACCUUACCUACCCUUGACAUGUACGGAAGCCUCCAGAGAUGGAGGUGUGCCCGAAAGGGAACCGUAACACAGGUGCUGCAUGGCUGUCGUCAGCUCGUGUCGUGAGAUGUUGGGUUAAGUCCCGCAACGAGCGCAACCCUUGCCAUUAGUUGCCACAUUAAGUUGGGCACUCUAAUGGGACUGCCGGUGACAAACCGGAGGAAGGUGGGGAUGACGUCAAGUCCUCAUGGCCCUUAUGGGUAGGGCUUCACACGUAAUACAAUGGCCGGUACAGAGGGCAGCCAACCCGCGAGGGGGAGCUAAUCCCAGAAAGCCGGUCGUAGUCCGGAUUGCAGUCUGCAACUCGACUGCAUGAAGCCGGAAUCGCUAGUAAUCGCGGAUCAGCAUGUCGCGGUGAAUACGUUCUCGGGUCUUGUACACACCGCCCGUCACACCAAGGGAGUGGGUUUCACCAGAAGUAGUUAGCCUAACCGCAAGGAGGGCGACUACCACGGUGAGAUUCAUGACUGGGGUGAAGUCGUAACAAGGUAGCCGUAUCGGAAGGUGCGGCUG